RNAcentral lists this ribosomal RNA (369 nucleotides) under uncultured phototrophic eukaryote. RNAcentral's name for it is "SSU rRNA". It matches the Rfam family "Bacterial small subunit ribosomal RNA", at positions 524 to 896 of the family's 1533-position model. The record is from RNAcentral.
UACGGGGGAUGCAAGCGUUAUCCGGAUUUAUUGGGCGUAAAGCGCCUGUAGGUUGUUUAAUAAGUCUGUUGUUAAAGACUAGGGCUUAACCCUGGGAAAGCAAUGGAAACUAAUAAACUUGAGUAUGGCAGGGGUAGAGGGAAUUUCUAGUGUAGCGGUGAAAUGCGUAGAUAUUAGAAAGAACACCGGUGGCGAAAGCGCUCUACUGGACCAUUACUGACACUCAGAGGCGAAAGCUAGGGGAGCGAAAGGGAUUAGAUACCCCUGUAGUCCUAGCCGUAAACGAUGGGUACUAGAUGUUGUGUUUUAUAUACAGUAUCGUAGCUAACGCGUUAAGUACCCCGCCUGGGGAGUACGCUCGCAAGGGUG